AAAAUGUAGGCCGGUUAGUCACACCAGCUAAAAAAUUAGAAGAUACAAUACGUCUGGCAGAAUUGGUAAUUGAAGUCCUACAGCAAAACGAAGAACACCAUGCAGAGGUGAGCAGCGGCGCCCAGUGA
RNA transcript from Apaloderma vittatum (bar-tailed trogon), 128 nucleotides. It is a transcript of the gene named calcium-dependent secretion activator 1 pseudogene, with no coding region annotated. The record is from RefSeq and is a predicted model, not a curated record. NCBI's taxonomy places the organism in Eukaryota, Metazoa, Chordata, Aves, Trogoniformes, Trogonidae. The transcript has a single exon.